UACAGAGGUCUCGAGCGUUGUUCGGAUUCACUGGGCGUAAAGGGUGCGUAGGUGGUGACGUAAGUCGGAUGUGAAAUCUCGGAGCUCAACUCCGAAACGGCAUUGGAAACUGCGUUGCUAGAGGGUUGGAGGGGGGACUGGAAUGCUUGGUGUAGCAGUGAAAUGCGUAGAUAUCAAGCGGAACACCAGUGGCGAAGGCGAGUCCCUGGACAACACCUGACACUGAGGCACGAAAGCUAGGGGAGCAAACAGG
RNAcentral lists this ribosomal RNA (253 nucleotides) under uncultured bacterium. Its description in RNAcentral is "partial 16S ribosomal RNA". It matches the Rfam family "Bacterial small subunit ribosomal RNA", at positions 524 to 776 of the family's 1533-position model. The record is from RNAcentral.